GCAAGUCGAGCGGACAGAUGGGAGCUUGCUCCCUGAUGUUAGCGGGACGGGUGAGUAACACGUGGGUAACCUGCCUGUAAGACUGGGAUAACUCCGGGAAACCGGGGCUAAUACCGGAUGCUUGUUUGAACCGCAUGGUUCAAACAUAAAAGGUGGCUCGGCUACCACUUACAGAUGGACCCGCGGCGCAUUAGCUAGUUGGUGAGGUAAUGGCUCACCAAGGCGACGAUGCGUAGCCGACCUGAGAGGGUGAUCGGCCACACUGGGACUGAGACACGGCCCAGACUCCUACGGGAGGCAGCAGUAGGGAAUCUUCCGCAAUGGACGAAAGUCUGACGGAGCAACGCCGCGUGAGUGAUGAAGGUUUUCGGAUCGUAAAGCUCUGUUGUUAGGGAAGAACAAGUACCGUUCGAAUAGGGCGGUACCUUGACGGUACCUAACCAGAAAGCCACGGCUAACUACGUGCCAGCAGCCGCGGUAAUACGUAGGUGGCAAGCGUUGUCCGGAAUUAUUGGGCGUAAAGGGCUCGCAGGCGGUUUCUUAAGUCUGAUGUGAAAGCCCCCGGCUCAACCGGGGAGGGUCAUUGGAAACUGGGGAACUUGAGUGCAGAAGAGGAGAGUGGAAUUCCACGUGUAGCGGUGAAAUGCGUAGAGAUGUGGAGGAACACCAGUUGGCGAAGGCGACUCUCUGGUCUGUAACUGACGCUGAGGAGCGAAAGCGUG
This 722-nucleotide ribosomal RNA is filed under the name Bacillus sp. (in: firmicutes). Its description in RNAcentral is "bacterial SSU rRNA". It matches the Rfam family "Bacterial small subunit ribosomal RNA", at positions 57 to 763 of the family's 1533-position model. Lineage: Bacteria; Bacillati; Bacillota; Bacilli; Caryophanales; Bacillaceae. The record is from RNAcentral.